RNAcentral lists this ribosomal RNA (2189 nucleotides) under human gut metagenome. RNAcentral's name for it is "bacterial LSU rRNA". It matches the Rfam family "Bacterial large subunit ribosomal RNA", at positions 14 to 2299 of the family's 2925-position model. The record is from RNAcentral.
AGGGCACAGGGCGGAUGCCUUGGCACUAAGAGCCGAUGAAAGACGUGAUAAGCUGCGAUAAGCUUCGGGGAGGAGCAAAUAUCCAUUGAUCCGGAGAUGUCUGAAUGGGGAAACCCACAUGAGCAAACCUCAUGUAUCCAUACGCCAAUCCAUAACGUAUGGAAGGGAACCCGGGGAACUGAAACAUCUAAGUACCCGGAGGAAAAGAAAGAAAACUCGAUUCCGUAAGUAGCGGCGAGCGAACGCGGAGGAGCCUAAACCGGAAUGCGUGCAUUCCGGGGUUACGGACUGCAUUUAAGAUUCUCUGAAGCUAACAGAACGGUUUUGGGAAAGCCGGCCGCAGAGGGUGAAAGCCCCGUACGUGAAAGCUGAUGAGACUGAGCAGGAUCCAGAGUACCACGAGACACGUGGAACCUUGUGGGAAAUCAGGGGGACCACCCCCUAAGGCUAAAUACUACUUAGUGACCGAUAGCGCAUAGUACUGUGAAGGAAAGGUGAAAAGGACCCCGGGAGGGGAGUGAAAGAGAACCUGAAACCUUGUGCCUACAAGCACAUAGAGCCCGUCAAAGGGUGAUAUGGUACUUUUUGUAGAACGGUCCGGCGAGCGAUUGUACGUUGCGAGCUUAAGGUCUUAAGGACUGGAGGCGUAGCGAGAGCGAGUCUAAACAGGGCGUUUAGUAGCGUGCAAUGGGCCCGAAACCGGGUGACCUACCCAUGAUCAGGCUGAAGUGAAAGUAAAAUUUCAUGGAGGGCCGAACCGACCUCCGUUGAAAAGGCGGCGGAUGAAUUGUGGGUAGCGGAGAAAUUCCAAUCGAACUCGGAGAUAGCUGGUUCUCCCCGAAAUAGCUUUAGGGCUAGCCUCAUGUUAGAUAUCCGGAGGUAAAGCACUGAAUGGCCUAGCGUCCGAGAGGAUAGCGAAGCCUAUCAAACUAAGAAUGCCGGAAUAUUGAUGCAUGGGAGUCAGACAGUGUGAGAUAAAUCUCAUUGUCAAAAGGGAAACAGCCCAGAUCUACAGCUAAGGUCCCAAAUUGUAUCUAAGUGGAAAACGAUGUGGAAAUACGCAGACAACCAGGAUGUUGGCUCAGAAGCAGCCACUCAUUUAAAGAGUGCGUAAUAGCUCACUGGUCGAGCGUCUCUGCGCGGAAAAUUUAACGGGGCUAAGAUACAAACCGAAGCUUAGGCUGCACUUUUAGUGCGGGGUAGGGGAGCGUUGUGUAAGCGGAGAAACAGUAGCGAAAGCGGCUGUGGAGUUUACAGAAGUGAGAAUGCCGGAAUGAGUAGCGCGAAUGAUGUGAGAAUCAUCAUGGCCGGAAACCUCAGGUUUUUGGAGGAAGGUUCGUCCGCUCCAAGUUAGGCGGGAGCUAAGGUGAGGCCGAAAGGCGUAGCCGAUGCACAGACGGUAGAGAUUCCGUCCCCACCGAAAGAUUUAAGCGCAGGGACACUUUUAGAAGGUCGGAGCCAGGUGUUGGUUCUGGUAGAGAUCGAGGGAAGAUUAGUACCGAAGUCCGGCUGGAUAAGAGGCGAGAAAAGCUGCGUGUAUAUCUAAGGUGCCCGUACCGCAAACCGACACAGGUAGGUAGGAAGAAGAUUCUAAGGCCAACGGGAGAAGGGUUGUUAAGGAACUCGGCAAGUUGACCCCGUAACUUCGGAAUAAGGGGUGCUCAUGAAAGUGAGCCGCAGAGAAUAGGCCCAGGCAACUGUUUACCAAAAACACAGGUUUGUGCUAAAUCGAAAGAUGACGUAUACGAGCUGACGCCUGCCCGGUGCUGGAAGGUUAAAAGGAGAUGUGCAAGCAUUGAAUUGAAGCCCCAGUGAACGGCGGCCGUAACUAUAACGGUCCUAAGGUAGCGAAAUUCCUUGUCAGGUAAGUUCUGACCCGCAUGAAAGGCGUAAUGAUCUGGGCACUGUCUCAACAGCCCGCCCGGCGAAAUUGUAGUACCGGUGAAGAUGCCGGUUACCCGCGACAAGACGGAAAGACCCCAUGGAGCUUUACUGUAGCCUAAUAUUGGGUUUCGGUGUUGCAUGCACAGGAUAGAUGGGACGCUAGGAAGUGAGUGCUUUGGCAUUCAUGGAGCGGCCGUUGGGAUACCAUCCUUGCGACAUUGGAAUUCUAACCUGCGCCUUUGAAUCAAGGCGGGGGACAUUGUUAGGUGGGCAGUUUGACUGGGGCGGUCGCCUCCUAAAGAGUA